UUGAGAAUUUCAUGGGCUAUUCUUGUUUCAUGGGCUUAUCCUUGAUGCCUUUUGGGACACUUCGGAUUGUUGAAAGAUUAAUAUUCUUGUUGCGUUUUUAAGCGCGAAGUAUCAGUGAAAUUUUCUUCGAUACGUUGGAAAGGUUAGGAAGACGAGAAUUUGACAUUGCCUCGUAGCUUCCCUUAUUGGUUUGGAGUGCGCUGGUGAUCGAAGUUGUGCUUUUUUGUCGGAACUAGUAAAGGAAGGCAUGGAUGAGAACCAGCAGCAAAGCAAAGAAAACAAAAGUGCUGAUGAGGUGCCACUUGAGUCUGUAAAUGGAAAGAAAACACUGAAAAAUGACGGUAAGGAAUACAUUGCUUGCACUAUAAAGUAUUGAAAGUAAUUUGCAACUCUCCAUAUUUGUUAUUUGUAACUGACAUGCUUUGCACAGGUGUUGUGGGGUUAGUGGAGAAGUUAACUGUAUUUCAAAAAUUAAAUCACUUUAAAUUGCAGUGAAAGCUAUUACUUUUAUAGUUAUAAAAGUAUCAAAGGUAACUUCUCUGAGAACCUUCUCCAGUGUCUGUGAUAUAGAAGUGUCCACUAAAUAUAGGUUCAUUUAUUAAGAAAUGUGGGAAGAAUAGUAUGCAACUGAAAAUACAAGUAAGUACUGGAAAAGAAUAUUUAUUCCUUGCUAGUAAUCUCAGAACAGCUGUG
Non-coding RNA from Pocillopora verrucosa, 693 nucleotides. Lineage: Eukaryota; Metazoa; Cnidaria; Anthozoa; Scleractinia; Pocilloporidae. The record is from RefSeq and is a predicted model, not a curated record.